UCGCUAGAAAAACUGUACCAUCAUAGCUUA
RNAcentral lists this non-coding RNA (30 nucleotides) under Rattus norvegicus (Norway rat). The record is from RNAcentral. Lineage: Eukaryota; Metazoa; Chordata; Mammalia; Rodentia; Muridae.